ACAAAAUAUAGUGUACAUCUGGAAUUUAACUUUUUAGGAGGACCGGUGACUUGAUUUAUGGUUUUCCGAUUCAUUUCACAAGCACUAAUGAAAUUAAGCAUAUUGCACCCUUGGCAAGGCAAUUACCAAAUGCUAUGAGAUGGUGUGGUCAGUGGACCAUAUCUAUUAUUUCCUCUUCGUGUUACUAAAGUAGCUAAGUAAUGACAAAACAAAACAGCAAGAAACUUUUCAAGUUUUUCUUUUGAGCGAACUUGUGUUCUUUCAGGCAAGGUUACUCCAGAAAGUGUCAUAUUCAGUUUUGGUAACUUCUUGACCUUCUCAGUGUAAAAUGUAUACCCCCUUCACAUGUAAGUUUCUUGCAAGAAAUGUCUUACGCUUUAAAUAUACAAGGCCGUUUUUGGCAAAUACAGAAAUACACAUGCCAGUUGGAUACCAGUGAACACCCUUGCUUGCAAAUUGCAUUGAAAUUGUUUCUCAAAAUGAAUCUCUGGCACAUCUUCUGCACUGUGAAAAUUGCACCCUGCAUAAUUCUUUAUCAAAGCAUAAACUAAAAAGACGUACGGUAGAAGUAUGCCACUGGUAAUAAUGUAUAUAUGCAUUCCUUGUACUCUGGCACUUGAUAUCAUAAUGUAUAUACGCAUUCCUUGCACUCUGGCACUUGAUAUCAUGAGAGGCAGAAACAUUGAAGCAGCAAUGGAUUAACAUUUGGAGGGGAACUACUCGACAGAGGUGACUACUACACUGCUGAACCUUGCUUCUCAGUGUCUACAGUAUGAGCCAAGAGAUCGUCCUGACAUAAAAAAGUUGGUUUCCAUACUGGAGCCUUUGCAGACAAAAUCAGAGGUAACCAUAUUUGUUCUUCUGUAUUUCAUAUUUGAUUACGUUUUUGCGAAAGGAGUAUAUUUAAUGUCCUGGCAUCACACAUAUCUCAUGCUAAUGACUGUGUUCCAGAACUACUGUGUGAUGUUGCUUUAUUUUUACCCUGUAAAACCAAUUUUUGUCACGAUGCGACAAUAGAAGUUAAAAUACAGAACAGAGAAAUCUUCAGUAUAUAAUGUCCAAUUUGCCAGACACUGUAGUAGAUGCUUACCUGCACCGCUGUACAGAUAGAUUAUGUUACCAGCUUGCCUUUGUAUACUACAUCGAAGUAUUUUGAUCAAAAUGCACAAAUAUUUGUUUUACUACUAUUUUUGUUACAUAUAUUGUAUGUCUUGCAAGAUGGACCUAACUGCCAUCCAUCAGAUCCUAUUCACGACACAUUACAGAGAAGAUGAAUGGUCCAAUGAGCUAUCUUUUCAAGAAUGGACACAAUAGAUGAGGCAUGAGGGAUAUGUUGGAUGCAAGGGAACGUGGCGAGUUUUCCUUUAAAGACAAAUAUUCUAAUGCAGCAAUCAUUGUUAUGAAAGCCCUUAUUAGUGUCCUCAGUUUUUUUUUUUUUGAAAGCAGUGUCCUCAGAUAUAUCAACCCAAUGUAGCUGAUUCAUCCUUUCCCUGUGUUUCACAGUUUGUUGAUGUGGGGACAAUGGGGGUUACCAACUGUGUCUGCCAGAUGAAGCUUGUGCUACUUUACGUGUGACCAACCUGAUGCUGCAAUCCUUGAUGCCAUGCAACUAUGCAAGCAUAGAUCGUCUCUCCUGAUAUGCCAACAGCAUUCUAUAUUCAGGCCGUUGCACUACCCAAGCUGAACAUGCAAAGUGAUGCUGUGAACAUUCUGAAUGAGGCUUCAGAGCUAGAAGAGAAAAGGAAAAAGAGCACAAAAGGUCCUUGAGAAGUGGCAUCCCUUAUAUAUAACAUAGAUUCACGCUAUGUAGUAAAUUCCCCAACCCUUUCCCCUGUAGAAAUUGCUUAGCAUAUUGCAUUGGUUAAAUGUGAGAUGAUUAAAAUUUAGAUGUUAGGAAACCUAUGUGGAGAAGAGGCUCUCUACAGAAGAGCCUUGUGGUCAGAAUAACUCAUUUGGUUUGUCGACAUUCCGUGAUAGGUUCUGCAUUUUUUGGGCCCAUGUUUACAGGAUCUGUUACAUUAGAGUUUGAAACUUGAUAUAGGUGCUGGUGGUCCAGGUGGGCCUCUGUAGCCGAAGCUAAUAAACAUGCCUUCGUUUGUGCAAAACUGUUUAUCUAUGAAAUCGAUUCCAUUAAUACA
Panicum virgatum (switchgrass) is the source of this 2138-nucleotide long non-coding RNA. RefSeq lists it as uncharacterized. The record is from RefSeq and is a predicted model, not a curated record. The transcript has 2 exons. NCBI's taxonomy places the organism in Eukaryota, Viridiplantae, Streptophyta, Magnoliopsida, Poales, Poaceae.